RNAcentral lists this ribosomal RNA (473 nucleotides) under uncultured bacterium. RNAcentral's name for it is "SSU rRNA". It matches the Rfam family "Bacterial small subunit ribosomal RNA", at positions 26 to 518 of the family's 1533-position model. The record is from RNAcentral.
AGGACGAACGCUGGCGGCGUGCUUAACACAUGCAAGUCGAACGGAAAGGCCCUUCGGGGUACUCGAGUGGCGAACGGGUGAGUAACACGUGGGUGAUCUGCCCCGCACUUUGGGAUAAGCCUGGGAAACUGGGUCUAAUACCGAAUAGGACCAUGGGAUGCAUGUCCUGUGGUGGAAAGCUUUUGCGGUGUGGGAUGGGCCCGCGGCCUAUCAGCUUGUUGGUGGGGUUAAGGCCUACCAAGGCGACGACGGGUAGCCGGCCUGAGAGGGUGUCCGGCCACACUGGGACUGAGAUACGGCCCAGACUCCUACGGGAGGCAGCAGUGGGGAAUAUUGCACAAUGGGCGCAAGCCUGAUGCAGCGACGCCGCGUGGGGAUGACGGCUUCGGGUUGUAACCUCUUUCAGUAGGACGAAGCGCGAAGUGACGGUACCUACAGAAGAAGACACCGGCCAACUACGUGCCAGCAGCCGC